GGCUUUGUUUAGUUUCUAAAAAAAUUUUGUAAAAUUUUUCAGAUUUCCCGUCACAUCAAAUCUUUAGACGCAUGCAUGGAGUAUUAAGGCCUUGUUUAGUUCGCAAAAUUUUUCAAGAUUCCUCGUUACAUCGAAUCUUUGGUCGCAUGCAUGAAGUAUUAAUUAUAGACGAAAAUAAAAACUAACUGCACAGUUUACCUGUAAUUUGUGAAAUGAAUCUUUUGAGCCUAGUUACUCCG
RNAcentral lists this long non-coding RNA (239 nucleotides) under Sorghum bicolor (sorghum). RNAcentral describes it as "long non-coding RNA (SBIC_LNC009672)". Lineage: Eukaryota; Viridiplantae; Streptophyta; Magnoliopsida; Poales; Poaceae. The record is from RNAcentral.